GACGAACGCUGGCGGCGCGCCUAACACAUGCAAGUCGAACGAGCAAAGAGGAGCUUGCUUCUCUGAGCGAGUGGCGAACGGGUGAGUAACGCGUGAGGAACCUGCCUCAAAGAGGGGGACAACAGUUGGAAACGACUGCUAAUACCGCAUAAGCCCACAGGUCGGCAUCGACCAGAGGGAAAAGGAGUGAUCCGCUUUGAGAUGGCCUCGCGUCCGAUUAGCUAGUUGGUGAGGUAACGGCCCACCAAGGCGACGAUCGGUAGCCGGACUGAGAGGUUGAACGGCCACAUUGGGACUGAGACACGGCCCAGACUCCUACGGGAGGCAGCAGUGGGGAAUAUUGCACAAUGGGGGAAACCCUGAUGCAGCGACGCCGCGUGGAGGAAGAAGGUCUUCGGAUUGUAAACUCCUGUUGUUGAGAAGAUAAUGACGGUACUCAACAAGGAAGUGACGGCUAACUACGUGA
This 466-nucleotide ribosomal RNA is filed under the name uncultured bacterium. RNAcentral's name for it is "bacterial SSU rRNA". It matches the Rfam family "Bacterial small subunit ribosomal RNA", at positions 28 to 508 of the family's 1533-position model. The record is from RNAcentral.